Molecule: ribosomal RNA, 546 nt
Filed under: uncultured fungus
Lineage: Eukaryota; Fungi
Description: eukaryotic LSU rRNA
Rfam family: 5.8S ribosomal RNA (bases 202-355)
Source: RNAcentral
AAGUCGUAACAAGGUUUCCGUAGGUGAACCUGCGGAAGGAUCAUUACAAGAACGCCCGGGCUUCGGCCUGGUUAUUCAUAACCCUUUGUUGUCCGACUCUGUUGCCUCCGGGGCGACCCUGCCUUCGGGCGGGGGCUCCGGGUGGACACUUCAAACUCUUGCGUAACUUUGCAGUCUGAGUAAACUUAAUUAAUAAAUUAAAACUUUUAACAACGGAUCUCUUGGUUCUGGCAUCGAUGAAGAACGCAGCGAAAUGCGAUAAGUAAUGUGAAUUGCAGAAUUCAGUGAAUCAUCGAAUCUUUGAACGCACAUUGCGCCCCCUGGUAUUCCGGGGGGCAUGCCUGUUCGAGCGUCAUUUCACCACUCAAGCCUCGCUUGGUAUUGGGCAACGCGGUCCGCCGCGUGCCUCAAAUCGUCCGGCUGGGUCUUCUGUCCCCUAAGCGUUGUGGAAACUAUUCGCUAAAGGGUGUUCGGGAGGCUACGCCGUAAAACAACCCCAUUUCUAAGGUUGACCUCGGAUCAGGUAGGGAUACCCGCUGAACUUAA